AUGGUCCUCAAACUUGACUUCACCAAGGCGUUCGACUCCAUCAACUAGGCGACCUUGUGCGUUGUGAUGGCGGCCAGGGGGUUCCCGUCGCUCUGGUGCGACUGGAUGGUUGCCCUCUUCCACUCCUCGAGCUCGGCGGUCUUGUUGAACGGGGUGCCAGGGCGAUGGUUCCGGAUGCGCUGCGGCCUCAGGCCGGGGGACCCCAUCUCCCCCUACCUCUUCCUCAUCGUCGCCGACAUGCUCCAACGGCUGAUCCGCCAGGAUGAUGUGCUUCGCCACCCUCUCCUUCCGGCGUGCCUGCGGUGGUGCUGCGGUACGCCGAUGACAUGCUGA
RNAcentral lists this ribosomal RNA (333 nucleotides) under Triticum aestivum (bread wheat). Its description in RNAcentral is "partial small subunit ribosomal RNA". Lineage: Eukaryota; Viridiplantae; Streptophyta; Magnoliopsida; Poales; Poaceae. The record is from RNAcentral.